Molecule: unclassified non-coding RNA, 287 nt
Filed under: Glomus sp.
Lineage: Eukaryota; Fungi; Glomeromycota; Glomeromycetes; Glomerales; Glomeraceae
Description: partial internal transcribed spacer 2
Source: RNAcentral
GUGAAUCAUCGAAUUUUUGAACGCAAAUUGCACUCUCCUCGGAGAGUAUGGCUAUGUGAGUUCCAGCCUAUAAAAAAUCGACAACGUUGCUUUUUCGCGGGGGCGCUCUCCGGAAAUUGGGUCAUCUUAAAUCUUUUGGUUUUAAGCGACUUAAAAUCUUCUGUUUGGUUCCAUGAACGUUUCUACGAUUUAGUUCUGUACACGUUUAAGGUAUCGAUUUUUAUUGGACGUGACCAUCAUAUGGGAACGCGCCCAUAUUCUUUAAUUAACUGACCUCAGACAGGUAA